RNAcentral lists this ribosomal RNA (492 nucleotides) under uncultured bacterium. Its description in RNAcentral is "bacterial SSU rRNA". It matches the Rfam family "Bacterial small subunit ribosomal RNA", at positions 903 to 1397 of the family's 1533-position model. The record is from RNAcentral.
AAAUGAAUUGACGGGGGCCCGCACAAGCGGAGGAGCAUGUGGUUUAAUUCGAUGAUACGCGAGGAACCUUACCCGGGCUUGAACGUAAGACGAAUAUGCAGGAAACUGUAUAGCCUUCGGGCGUCUUGCGAGGUGCUGCAUGGUUGUCGUCAGCUCGUGCCGUGAGGUGUUAGGUUAAGUCCUGCAACGAGCGCAACCCUUACACGUAGUUGCCAGCACGUAAUGGUGGGGACUCUACGUGAACUGCCUACGCAAGUAGCGAGGAAGGUGGGGAUGACGUCAAAUCAGCACGGCCCUUAUGUUCGGGGCUACACACGUGCUACAAUGGCAUGUACAGAGGGCAGCCACUAUGUGAAUAGGCGCAAAUCCUCAAAGCAUGUCUCAGUUCGGAUUGGAGUCUGUAACUCGACUCUAUGAAGUUGGAUUCGCUAGUAAUCGCGCAUCAGCCAUGGCGCGGUGAAUACGUUCCCGGGCCUUGUACACACCGCCCGU